Molecule: long non-coding RNA, 7271 nt
Filed under: Homo sapiens (human)
Lineage: Eukaryota; Metazoa; Chordata; Mammalia; Primates; Hominidae
Description: HSALNT0382603
Source: RNAcentral
CCUGUGCGACAGAGUGAGACUCCAUCUCACAAAAAAAAAGACAUUAUUCUCAUGAAAACAGUCAUGACAGUCAUGAACAAGUAGUCCUAUUUGUACAAAAUGAAAUACAAAUGACUAAUAAAUAGGUAAAAAGAUAUUCAACUUCACCAAUAACAAAGGAAUGUAAGUUAGAAAAAAAGAAAUGUAAUUUUCACUCAUCAGAGUAACAAACUUUUAUCAUAUCAAAUAUUGAUGAUGUUGUAAAGAAAUGAAUACUCUUUUUUACAGCUUAGUAGUAUUCCAUGGUAUACGUAUAUUCUGUAUUUUCUUUAUCCACUCAUUGGUUGAUGGGCACUUAGGUUGAUUCCAUAUCUUUGCAAUUGUGAAUUGUGCUGUGAUAAAUAUACACUGUUUUUGUAAGUAUAAAUUUUUGCAGCUAUUUACAGUACAAUUUUGGCAGUGUCUAUUAGAGUGAAAAAUAAUGUCUCCUCUGACUCAGCAAUUCAUUUCUGUUUCUACCUUAAGGAUGCACUUGCAUGUGCCCUGUAUGAAAGUACAAGCAUGUUAACUGCAGCAGUGUUAGUUACAGGCAAAAUUGGAAAUGAACAUCAAAACUGGGAUAAGAGCACCAUGGUAAAUCUGGACUAUGUAGUACUUGCAAAAGAUGCAGAUAAGCCUACGUGUACCAAUGUGGAAAGGUCUGUGAAACAUAUUGUUCACUGCAAAAAAUAACAAUUCCAAAAAAAGAAGUAUAGAUAAAAAAAUUUGGGUAUAAAAUCAACCCACAUACAAAAUAUAGAUCUUUGUAUAGUUGCAUACCUCUCUACAUGUUUGUAUAUGUUUUACAUACGUAUCUAUCUCUAUCUAUCAUCUAUCUCUCUCUCUCUCUAUCUAUCUAUCUCUCUAUCAUCUAUCUAUCUAUCUAUCUAUCAAGAGAUUGAUUUCAAUUCAAAGUAAAGUAACAGUAUAUUUGGAUGCAGAGCAAACAUAAGAGUGGCCUCCUCUACAAAAGGGACUCAAGAUAGAAAUCUGAAAAGCACAGAAAACUACAAAGCAACGCAUAUGGCUAAUAAAACAUAUUGAGGAUGAAUGAGAAAACAACCUGGUUCCUGGAAGGAGAGAAACAAGGUGGAGUCUUCUCACAGAAACAAGGAGAAGGUCAGAGAGACCUCCGGGAGCAUCUCAUCUUGGAGGUAGCUGUUUGCAUGAGGGCAGUGCUUGUCCUGAGAUGCUAGUUUCGCAGAGUGGUGUUCACAAGGGAAAUAAGCUAGGUCAUUACCGUCUACCCUUACACCAGGAAGAGGAAAACAUUUCAGGCUUAUAUACCAAGGCUUUCCUGCCCCUAAGCUGUCCAGAGUUGCCUUAGUAUUGAUUAUCUUAACUUAAUUAUUAUAAAGUUUGCUGGUAAUGCUUUUGUAUUAAGAGUAAAAGAUAACCUUGAGAGCUGCAAACAUGAGCCCAGCGAUCCAGGAGAUCAAGUUAAUAAUUCUGGAUAUCAAGAGAUCCACGAUUAGUCAAUUCCAACCUGUUUUCCUUUGAUGCCUUAAUCAAGGUUUAGUUAUAGUUAACCUACUUUCAAAAUGCUUACUUCCACCCUCCCUCCAAGAAUCACCCUGAGCAUUUCCUCCACUCUCUAAGUUUAGGAAUUUAGGACUUUCCCCCAAGAAAGGCACUGUAGAGAACAAACAUAUGACAUCUCAAAGACACUUCGCCAUUUCAAAUAGGAAAGAAAAAUUUGCAUCCAAACAGGCCAAAUAUUGCACUCACUGUUAAUGUAAUCAUUUUUCUGACUUUGAAUUCCUUUUCCCAAGUGACUAAACAACGUCUUUAUUCUAACCUUUCGGCACUAGGCAGUUUUUCUCCUGCUUUAGUUUCCUCUACAACCUCCGGAAGAGUUUUCCUCAGCCCUGUUACCUGUUUCGUCCAUCAUUCUGUUGCUCACUGGAUUGGUUUUUACAUUAGUGUGUUUUGACAGCACACAAUGGUUUCCUCAGUUACACAACAGACUCAGUGCCAAUAAACUUUUUUUUAGGUAAUGUAAAGCAUAUUUGAGCACAAGAAUGAUUGCAUUUUCAUGGCUAAAAAUAAACAGUUGUUUUUAAUUUUCCAUGAGAAUGCUGGCUCUUAGCACAAGGGGCCACCUUCUACCUGGUGAACUCUUUAUGCCAAAGUCAUCACUACGUGGCUAGAAAUGUGAAAUUCAAGUUUUCCUUAUGUAACAUAAAGGGAAAAGCCCAUAGGCAAAUCUCUCUUUAAUUCCAUCGUAUCACUGCUCAUGCACAGUGCUUUUAAAACAGACUAUAACAAACAUACCCUAACAGAGAAACAAGUCCUACCCUAGCUAAUUUACAUAAAAAGACUAUCUUUAUUUUUAUAGUAACAAAAAAAGCUAGGAUUAUCUCAUUUAAUCCUUAUACCAUCAUUAUGAAGUGGGUAAUGUUAUACUUACAAAAGGAAGUUAAUCAUUUCUUAUUUUCCACAGACACCACAAGCUCAAGAGGCUGCAUUAGCGUUUUUUAUUGGAGGCAUUUUCUUUUCCUCCAGAUUUUGUUUUUGACUGUUAAGGUCAUAGCUACAAACAAUUGAUCAAGCCUAAAAGGGCAUUUAUAAACCACCUGCAUCUACAUUUUUUUCUUACUGUGGAUGGAUUUAAAAAGCCGUUUCAAGAUGAAAUCUUAUGAGUCAUUAUCAUGUCUUCUGAGGGCUGAGAUAUAACUUUGAAGUAGAGCCCAAACAUGAAGAUCAUGAAGAUGGCUUCUUCUCCAAAUGAUGUUAUCUUAAAAACUUGAAAAAGACAAAAAAAAAAAAAAAAAAAAAGAAGAAGAAAAAGAAAAAAGAAAGAAAAAAAGAGAGAGCGAGCCAAGGGAACUUGAAUCAGACAAACCUGGUUCAAAGUGAUUAUUCAACAAAUGUAAGCUGUUAUCAUCUUGUCCUCCAUCAUUCAAAUAUGUCCUGUAUAGAUCUUCCAUUAAUUUCAAAUAUCUAAUGAUCUACACCAUCAAAUAUUAUGAAGGUGAUGUUUAGCAGGUCAUUGGCUAAGACAGGCUCUACCUCAGUCUCUAAUAGAGAAGGAAAGACAAGUAGCAUUUACUAACACCCACAGUAUGCUUCAUAUUGUUGCCAGAAAUUUCAAAUGCACCAUCUAUUGAUGCAUGGAAUCCUUUCAACAUUCUUAGAAGACAAGACCUCCACCCUCUGCAAAACAUCUUCCCAGGAUUAUGGGAAGUGCCCAAGAUGUGGUCACGGGUGUACCACAGCCAGUUGGCUUCUGUGGUACUCUGCCGCUGCGCCUGCCUCCACUUCUGUGGUUCAUCCCCAACUCCCAUGGAAGUUGGAGCACUUUCACGGAACCCUGCGGUUCUUUCCAACAUGCAGCAGCCACCAGCCACAGUCACCUGCAACCACAAAUCAGCAAAGCCCCACAGCCCCGAAUCUCCACUGAGGUUUGUAAUGAAGUGGGACUUCAAGUUUAAGUCUUUCUCCGAGGCUAUUACGGCCUGCCAGUAGGGGCUCUCCAUGUGCACUGCUCAAACCAUUAUGCUCUAUAACUGUUUUCAGUGUAAGGCUCUUUACGCUUUGUUAGUAAUCUCUUGCUCUCCGGAGCCCAGAGAGUGACAGAUUCGUAACAGACCCCUGUUCACUCCUCGUUGCCUCUCCCCUGUGCUGAGAGGGCUUCUCAUUGGCUCAGGUGCAUCCCCUGUGCUGCUUCUCCCCUCAGGAUGCCCUCUUCAUCUAGAGGUUUCUCCAGGGAACCUGCCUGGCUCACUCACCUAACAAGCUAAGAAAUGUCUGAACCGUCUUUAAAUUCAAGCCAGGAGCCUAGAAGUAGUCCUAGGGAAAACGAAACAAAACAAAACAAAACAAAACAAAACCAACAAACAAACAAACACGACUGGAAAGAAAUACAUGGAGAAGUUAACAGGAGGGCUCCUUGGAGAGAUGGUUAAUUCUGGGGCUGGCCUGGGAAGGAUGAGAUGAGGCUGAAGCACCUUGCUGUGCCGGAACAUCAGGACGUGCUCAAAAAGUGAUGAGGCCAGGGCCUGAUGGAAGAGGCUCCCAGCAACCAAACCUGCCAAGGUUUGAGCACCAAAAAAACAGCAACAGUGAUUCUAUAACCCAUGAGAAUAAAAGAAUCAGUCCAUGAUGACAUAGGUAAGUAAAUAAAGAGAAAUACAUAGAAAGCUUCUUUUUACAGUAGAAUUUCAACUAAUAAAUAUCCAAGAGAUGAUGGGGAAAAUGUUGAAGUGGUUUAUCACAUAGAUGAGACCAUGGAUUUUUUUUCUUUUUUCUGAUCACCCUUUCUAAUUAUUUUUAUUUUUUUGCAAUGAAUAAUUGCUUGUAUAAUAAAAAUGCAAAAAGUCACCUGCAGUAGAUCGCCUGUGAAGUUAUAUUCUUAUUGUAUCUCUCAUGAGCGACAUUUGUCUCCUACUUUUAUGCUAAUGAAUUUUUGAUAGGCCCUAUCUUGCAUUUCUUUUUCCUAUUUACGUAUUUUAGAAAGAGGACAGCACAGGUGCUUCCCAGCAGGGCCACCCUGCACAAAGGCACCCAGUAGGCUGCAGAGUGAGGCUGAAAGUUAACCCCUGAUCUUUGCGUUAAACUGUGACGACUGGUGCACGGUUGCAUCUGCCCAUAAGGCCACUGUUUCCUAACUCACACAUGAUUCUGUCCUAGCUGCUGUGUCCUUCAAAAUAGUCUGUGUGGGUUUACCUGGUUGCUGCUAGAAUUCUUCUUUUUGAUCUCAAGGUCAAAGCCUGGUGGCAUGAACAGCAUUACCUGUUCAGCCGUGCGUCACUAAAGGUGUGAGGAGGUUGAGAUCAAGAGCAGUCUAGUUAGGAAGUGUCAUCUCUUCAAGUUUCCUCCCCUGAGUUUGUUGAACUUGCAGGGCAUGAGGUCACCUUCCUCAUCUGAUUUUCCCAUUCUCUAUUCCAAAUACAUGGCAUGGCUGUGGCCAGAUUCUUGCCACUCUAGGAGGUGAGUGGAAGGAUGUCCAGUUGCUUUAGGAAACUGUUCUUCCAUCACUGAGAAGCCAGGCCAGCUCACAAUUUAUGUUUCAUGAGGAUUACUUGUUCUUUCAGAAGUCACUGACAAAUGUUGGUCCCUACUGGCAAUGAGGUAGCUCUGCAUCUUUUCUCAGAACCACUCUGACAGGUAACUCUUGCCUCUCUCUAAUUCAGAGAUGUUGGUGAAAUACUCCUCUGCUCCGUUUACUCUGCAUCACUUUCUAGGAAAGAAAAGUGAUGAGUCAGCUCUUGACACUGUGCCUUCAGUGUGAUCCCCCUACAUUCUAGAAAACAGCAAUGCCUCAAAGCUGAUUCUCAACGCUGCUACAGGCUUUUUCUCUAUUUGGGGUUUCUAUUGAUUCUUUCCGUCAUUAUCUUUCCUAAAAGGGCAGCGUAUAAAGGGGAAUAGUUGCACAAAGGGGUAUUUUAAGAAUAAUUCGCCUUUAGGUGUGUGCUUCCAGAAGACACUGGUGGAGAAACUACUUCUGUGGGAGAAAAAGUACAGUGGCCUCUAGGGUGAGAACUCAAGGUGUCAGCAGCACCUACAUAAAGCAAGACACCAGCCAUGUGCCACCACACUGCCACCAGGAGACAGGUCCUGCUUGUGUUGAUCCCUGGUGACAUGACCAGAACCAAAACAAACGAACAAACAAACAAACAAACAACCUUAAAGUAGGUAAAGAUCUUGAAGGUGGCAAAAUGAUGCCAAUCCAAGAAGAAACCAAUUCCUAAUGUGAAAUGGAUACACUGACCCUGCCAACCAAGGGCAUUGUCUUUCCCAGUUUGAACAAAACCACAAUCCAUUAACUCCAGUAUUGAUGAUUUUCUUCUAUUCUAGGCCCUGAGCUCUUUUUGGGUCAACUGCAGCUGCAACUCUAGAGCGACAAUAAGGAUGUGUUUGAGGUGCUGAGGGAGGAGGAGGAUGGAGUGAGAAGGUGACAACAUUCAGCCAGGUGCCCCCAAAACAUGGAGGCAAGAGAAAGAGAAUUUGUCCAAGUGCAAGGUCUGCAGGCAGUGCAGGGCAGCUACCAGCAGGGCCCAUUUUUAUGGGAUUGUGAAAGGUGAUUCUGGAAAGGCAGGCAGCAGCUACAACAUGAAAGAUCUUUGGACUGUGUCUGUAUAUGAUAAGAAGUCAAAGAAGUAUCUUUAAAACAAGAGGAGCAAAGAGAGCUCAUCCUGGUAACAGAUGGAGGGUUAGGCUUGCCUAAGUUUACAGAAGUAGGUAAUGACAGGGCUAAGAGAGAACUCAGCUCAUUUUAAUUCCAUAUUGCUUAUCUUUCUCUUGUGCUUUGCAGUGUGUGUGUGUAUGUGUGUGUGUGCGUGUGUGUAGGGAGGAGGGGUGAGAUUGGCAAAAGUUGAGCCAGAUUAUACUGAUUAAUUAGUUCAACACCCAUUUUGCUGAGAGCAUACCGUGCCCACAGUGCUGAGUUGAGCAAACUUAAGAGGUGAUAUGAAAGGAGCAAAAGUGCUUAAAAAUCUGGGAAAGGGUAUCCAUCCCUGGUGCAUUGGUUUUGAUUAUUCCUCAGCUAUAUAAACAUCCAAAGAGAUGACCUCAUAUAUUCCACAGGCAUGACCGAAGAUUAUGGCACAGAUGUUCUGAAAUAAACAAUGUUAGUGCAAGCACAUAGCUGCACAGUCCUGUAAUGGUCCCGAGAAGAGCUUAGACCAUUUUUUUAAAAAACAUAAACCACAAGUUAAGGCUAAAUCAGAAAGAAAAUAGAAACCUUUCUUCAUCUGCUCUGUUCUUGGUUUCAUGUUUUAUAGAUGGCCUGGGAAGCCCUCUGCACGCCUUUCUCAACUAAGGAAUUUGUGGAAGUAGAAUUUCUUCUGUUGACAGAAUUCUGCUGAGAACUGAAUUUUCUGCUGUUUUCAUUACUCUUUUCUAAAUGUUUCACAGUUCUGUUUUUUUUACAGCCAGAUUUCCAUUUGAUACUGGUUGUGGUUACACUAAAAGUAACAUCUAUGGCCAAAUGGCUGGAAAUUUUACAUUUUUGACACCGAGAUUUUUCCUGUACUUCACGGAGGGCAAGGGUUAUACCCUAUUUUUUCCCAGUCUCCCACAGUGCCCAACCCAGACGACCGUACAUAAUAAGCGCUUUAUUCUCAGCACUGCUGUAUGCCUCAUUGGAACAGGAUGCCCAAGGUGAUGGCUGCAGAAAUGGAUGGAUUGGAGCGUGACUUGCCAAGACAGGUAUGUAGAAAUUAUUGUGGAGUGACGUGGCAUGAUCUCAGCUUACUGCAGCCUCAACCUCCCGGGCACAGGUGAUUCUCCAACCUCAGCCUUGGAGUAGC